AAGAAUGAAGUGUAGGAGGAGAAGAAUGCCCAAAAAUCGCGAGAACCAUGUUUAAAUAACCCAUUUUUGACACAUCAGCGGAAAGUCGCGCCCAGCGCCCCCUUUUGGGGUGCCCGGGCGCCAUAAAAAUACAAAACAACGAAUCAAAGGGCGCCCAGCGCCCCCCAGGGGCGCCCAGGCGCCAAAUCUACAGAAAAUCAGCAGCCAGGGGCACCCCAGUGCCCUUUUGGGGGCGCCCAGGCGCCAUUUCUGCAGCCAGGGGCACCCCAGCCCCCUUCUGGGGGCGCCCAGGCGCCAUUUCUGCAGCUAGGGGGAGGUCUCGGUCAAGGUUAUUUGUAGGAACUUUGCAAAUUUAAUUCCCUUUUGGUAAAAGCACUUGGUCACAUGAAAUGGUAGAAUAUUUUACAUGUUUAAUUGAUUUUCAUUUAUUUUUAAUUUCGUCAUUGCAUUCUCAAAUAUUUUCAAAACCCCCCCCACUGUAUGUUUGACUUGAUGCUGAAUCGCAAAAUUGGUCUUUGGGAGACGACCUAGGGGUCAUUCCCUAGUUUAUACUACACUUUAAUUGCACAUCAAAUUUGAUUGGGCGGCGACACCCAUCAAAUUUUGGCGCCGUUGCCG
RNAcentral lists this long non-coding RNA (618 nucleotides) under Vigna radiata. Its description in RNAcentral is "long non-coding RNA (VRAD_LNC006370)". The record is from RNAcentral. Lineage: Eukaryota; Viridiplantae; Streptophyta; Magnoliopsida; Fabales; Fabaceae.